UGCAAACUUGCAGAUAUGCAGGUAGUGGCACAUGCUGACUGCUGGGUCUUCACUCUGAGGGUGAUUUUCUAAAAUGGAGCUGUGCUAACAGUGCAGCUUGCCCACCGAAUGAGAAGCCCCAUCUCCCAAGAUCAUAAAGCAAAGCUUGCCAAGAGAUCGUGGUGCGUUUUGUUGAAAGGCCUUUAAAGACUUGUGGGAUUUAUCUGUAGACUUCUGAGGACAAUAGAAAUAUUUUUAUUUUUUAACAAUUUUGCACUUCUGACUUCAGGUGGAAAAUAAAUUUGUAUUAGUCUGUUCAGGGGAUUGAGACUUGAAAAAUUUCAUAUCCUGAGAAGUUUUUUUUCCCCCAAGCGUAUACUUCAUGUUUAAAAUAUUUACUAGGAAAUACAUGUCCUCCAUUCAUUAAUAUAUUAUAGACUAAUUUAACAGGUGCGUUUCAGGAAAAUUCUUCCUAGUUUAAUAAGUAAGGUAAAAGUUUUAUUUUAUUUUAUUUUUUUUUUAGUGUUUAGUGCUUAUUCUCUACUUCAUGUUUAAGAUUAGCCCACAACUAUUUUCAGUCUCUUCUGUGGGCUAUUAGAAGAUAAACAAUAAAAUAAACAAAAGACAUCUUAGAAUGUUGUAUUGUUUUAAUCAGAAUUUGUUUUGGCUCUUGUCUUCUUUGAUGUCAAAAUAGAUAAAAUUGUCUGCGUCUAUGAAUUAUAAACCAUUAACCAUAGUUUUUAUUUUUUUGGUUUCAAACAAGUAAGGAUAAAAUUAUCUCUGUGGUAACUAAAAUACCUGCAAUUAACCCAGGAGAUGUUUCCCCAAGGAAUUAAAAGACUUCUCUGUGUGCCUUC
Molecule: long non-coding RNA, 836 nt
Filed under: Rattus norvegicus (Norway rat)
Lineage: Eukaryota; Metazoa; Chordata; Mammalia; Rodentia; Muridae
Description: long non-coding RNA NONRATT030140
Source: RNAcentral